GGCGCGCUAGCAAAGCGGUUAUGCAGCGGAUUGCAAAUCCGUAGAGAUCGGUUCGACUCCGGUGCGCGCCUCCA
This 74-nucleotide transfer RNA is filed under the name Burkholderiaceae bacterium. RNAcentral's name for it is "tRNA-Cys". It matches the Rfam family "tRNA". From Rfam's summary of the family: Transfer RNA (tRNA) molecules are approximately 80 nucleotides in length. Their secondary structure includes four short double-helical elements and three loops (D, anti-codon, and T loops). Lineage: Bacteria; Pseudomonadati; Pseudomonadota; Betaproteobacteria; Burkholderiales; Burkholderiaceae. The record is from RNAcentral.